CCCGCCCGCCUGCCAUCAUUUUCGCCCCGCCCAAGCUGGGAGCAGGGAGGCGGUAAGCAGCAUGCUGGGAGCGAGCGCCAGCAGGGGCAGGAAGGCGGCGCCGCCAUCAGUGAAGCUGGGGGCGGCGAAGGAGGCGCCGGCGACCGUGGCCGCAGCCGCCUCCGGCGGCAAGGUGUCGGCGGAGGAGGUGUGGGAGGUGCGGCCCGGCGGGAUGCUGGUGCAGAAGCGGGGCGGGGCGGCCGACGACGAGCCGUCUCCCGGCGUCAAGCCGGUGCGCACCAUCCGGGUCAAGGCCAAGCAUGCCGGCGUCACGCACGAGAUCUACGUCAGCUCCGAGGCCUCCUUCGGGGAGCUGAAGAAGCUGGUGGCCGCCAAGACGGGGCUGCACCCGGACGACCAGAAGGUGCUGUACAAGGACAAGGAGCGCGACUCCAAGGCGUUCCUGGACGUGGCCGGCGUCAAGGACCGCUCCAAGGUGGUGGUCGUGGAGGACCCGGAAGCCCGCGCGCGCCGCCUCAUCGAGGAGCGCCGCAACGGCCACCUCCAGAAGGCCGCCAGCGCCGUCGCCGCGGUCACCGCCGAGGUCGACAAGCUCGCCCCCAAGGUGGCGGCGCUGGACGCGUCGGUGCGCAAGGGGGAGAAGGUCGCGGAGAAGGACGUGGUGCAGGUGACAGAGCUUCUCAUGAACGAGCUGCUCAGGCUCGACGCCGUGGUCGCCGACGGCGACGUCAAGGCGCAGAGGCGGAUGCAGGUGAAGCGCGUCCAGAAGUACGUGGAGACGCUGGACGCGGUGGCGGCCAGGAACGCCGCCACCGUCCGCAAGUCCGGCGCCAAGCCAGCACCGCCGCCGCCGCAGCAGCAGCAGCAGCAAGCGAGGCAGGCGCGGUGGGAGAUGCUGGACCUGCUGUCGUCGCUGCCGUCCACGUCCUCGGCCUCGUCGACGACAACCGUGAGCUCCACGGCGUCCUCCGGCGCGCCGCCGACCAACCGCCUGGACUGGAUGCUGUUCUGACGGGCGGGCGAGUGCAGGGCAGCCCGGCGCCGGCCGGCCACCGGCGCGAAAGCAGUCAAGCCGGAUGUGGGGGAAAGCGGAAGGCGGAGUGCAGAACUGCAUUGCUCUGCAUGGUACCGUACCAGCCAACUCGAUUCAUCAACCAUGUCUUCUUCUUUCAUUCCUUUUGAGAUUCUUUCCUUUUUCCUCAUCUUCUUGUUCAUGAAACGUUUGAGGUUCUUUUUGUGUGCAUACUAUUCAGAUAGACAGAGAGAAAGAGAGAGAGGGUUGGUUACUUGGUUUAGGGCAAAUCAAAUGUAUUCAGAUUGGGAAUAAACACACUACUGGAGUCAAAAAAAAAUUGUCGUCGUCCAUCCCCAACUGCAGUCGGAGUCUCAAC
Molecule: unclassified non-coding RNA, 1391 nt
Filed under: Zea mays
Lineage: Eukaryota; Viridiplantae; Streptophyta; Magnoliopsida; Poales; Poaceae
Description: misc RNA Zm00001eb269390
Source: RNAcentral